RNAcentral lists this transfer RNA (65 nucleotides) under Oncorhynchus kisutch (coho salmon). RNAcentral describes it as "tRNA-Leu". Lineage: Eukaryota; Metazoa; Chordata; Actinopteri; Salmoniformes; Salmonidae. The record is from RNAcentral.
CAGAGCCCGGUAAUUGCGAGAGGCCUAAGCCCUCUUUCUCAGAGGUUCAAACCCUCUUCUUAGCU